CCCUUAGAGUUUGAUCCUGGCUCAGGAUGAACGCUAGCUACAGGCUUAACACAUGCAAGUCGAGGGGCAGCAUUUCAGUUUGCUUGCAAACUGGAGAUGGCGACCGGCGCACGGGUGAGUAACACGUAUCCAACCUGCCGAUAACUCGGGGAUAGCCUUUCGAAAGAAAGAUUAAUACCCGAUGGCAUAAUAGAACCGCAUGGUUUUUUUAUUAAAGAAUUUCGGUUAUCGAUGGGGAUGCGUUCCAUUAGGCAGUUGGUGAGGUAACGGCUCACCAAACCUUCGAUGGAUAGGGGUUCUGAGAGGAAGGUCCCCCACAUUGGAACUGAGACACGGUCCAAACUCCUACGGGAGGCAGCAGUGAGGAAUAUUGGUCAAUGGGCGCAGGCCUGAACCAGCCAAGUAGCGUGAAGGAUGACUGCCCUAUGGGUUGUAAACUUCUUUUAUAUGGGAAUAAAGUUUUCCACGUGUGGAAUUAGUAUGUACCAUAGAAUAAGAUCGGCAACUC
This 508-nucleotide ribosomal RNA is filed under the name uncultured bacterium. RNAcentral's name for it is "bacterial SSU rRNA". It matches the Rfam family "Bacterial small subunit ribosomal RNA", at positions 1 to 502 of the family's 1533-position model. The record is from RNAcentral.